GACGGGUGAGUAACACGUGGGAACGUACCCUUCGGUUCGGAACAAGUCAGGGAAACUUGAGCUAAUACCGGAUACGCCCUUCGGGGGAAAGAUUUAUUGCCGAUGGAUCGGCCCGCGUCUGAUUAGCUAGUUGGUACGGUAACGGCGUACCAAGGCGACGAUGACUAGGGGAGCUGAGAGGCUGGUCCCCCACACGGGCACUGAGAUACGGGCCCGACUCCUACGGGAGGCAGCAGUAGGGAAUAUUGGGCAAUGGGCGAGAGCCUGACCCAGCCAUGCCGCGUGCAGGAAGAAGGCUUUCUGAGUCGUAAACUGCUUUUGAUAGGGAAGAAUAAGGUGUACGUGUACACCGAUGACGGUACCUACAGAAUAAGCACCGGCUAACUCCGUGCCAGCAGCCGCGGUAAU
Molecule: ribosomal RNA, 408 nt
Filed under: uncultured bacterium
Lineage: Bacteria
Description: bacterial SSU rRNA
Rfam family: Bacterial small subunit ribosomal RNA
Source: RNAcentral